AACGAACGCUGGCGGCAGGCCUAACACAUGCAAGUCGAGCGCGCCCUUCGGGGUGAGCGGCGGACGGGUGAGUAACGCGUGGGAACGUGCCCUUCUCUGCGGAAUAGCCUCUGGAAACUGAGAGUAAUACCGCAUACGCCCUUUGGGGGAAAGAUUUAUCGGAGAAGGAUCGGCCCGCGUUGGAUUAGGUAGUUGGUGGGGUAAUGGCCCACCAAGCCGACGAUCCAUAGCUGGUUUGAGAGGAUGAUCAGCCACACUGGGACUGAGACACGGCCCAGACUCCUACGGGAGGCAGCAGUGGGGAAUCUUAGACAAUGGGGGCAACCCUGAUCUAGCCAUGCCGCGUGAGUGAUGAAGGCCUUAGGGUUGUAAAGCUCUUUCAGCUGGGAAGAUAAUGACGGUACCAGCAGAAGAAGCCCCGGCUAACUCCGUG
This 433-nucleotide ribosomal RNA is filed under the name uncultured bacterium. RNAcentral describes it as "partial 16S ribosomal RNA". It matches the Rfam family "Bacterial small subunit ribosomal RNA", at positions 29 to 507 of the family's 1533-position model. The record is from RNAcentral.